Molecule: long non-coding RNA, 307 nt
Filed under: Elaeis guineensis (African oil palm)
Lineage: Eukaryota; Viridiplantae; Streptophyta; Magnoliopsida; Arecales; Arecaceae
Description: long non-coding RNA (EGUI_LNC023681)
Source: RNAcentral
AUGAGAAAUUACUAAGUUGGGAGUGGUAAUGUUGCUUUUUUGCUUCCUUCUCUUCUUUUCUAAGAACCGAAUGGUUUGAUGGCUUAGGAUUUGCUUAUCAAAUAUUGGAUUUGAGCGUAAAUUCAAGCUCUUUUCUCCAAGAUGAUUCUCUCUAGUAUCGAUAAUUUUAUAUUAAAAGGUCUGUGCUGGAAGGUAGUGGAACAAAUUUUCUGUUAAUUCAUGGGUGCUUCCAUACAAGGUAGUAUGCCUUUUUCAAAUGGAGACUACUUGUGUGGUAUUUUAGGAAAAGAGCAACAAUUUAGGGGAG